UUCUCAUCAAGAGAGGUGGAGGGACGGGCCCUAUGAAGCCUCGGCAACCGGUUCUGAUUUACAGAACGUCCUGGUGCCAAUUCCCGCCCGAACAGGGAGAGAUGAGUG
RNAcentral lists this non-coding RNA (108 nucleotides) under Candidatus Zhuqueibacterota. RNAcentral's name for it is "Candidate division SAM-I sequence". It matches the Rfam family "SAM riboswitch aptamer (S box leader)". From Rfam's summary of the family: The SAM riboswitch is found upstream of a number of genes which code for proteins involved in methionine or cysteine biosynthesis in Gram-positive bacteria. The SAM riboswitch acts at the level of transcription termination control. The predicted structure consists of a complex stem-loop region followed by a single stem loop terminator region. The record is from RNAcentral. Lineage: Bacteria; Pseudomonadati.